Molecule: ribosomal RNA, 654 nt
Filed under: uncultured bacterium
Lineage: Bacteria
Description: SSU rRNA
Rfam family: Bacterial small subunit ribosomal RNA
Source: RNAcentral
CCUGUUGGGGGGGUAAUGGCCUCCCAAAGCUGCGAUCGGUCGCUGGUCUGAGAGGACGAUCAGCCACACUGGGAUUGAGAACGGCCCAGACUCCUACGGGGGGCAGCAGUGAGGAAUUUUCGUCAAUGGGGGCAACCCUGAACGAGCAACGCCGCGUGCAGGAAGACGGUUUUCGGAUCGUAAACUGCUUUUCCCAGGGAAGAGAAGGGACGGUACCUGGGGAACAAGCCCCGGCUAACUACGUGCCAGCAGCCGCGGUAAUACGUAGGGGGCAAGCGUUGUCCGGAGUUACUGGGCGUAAAGCGCACGCAGGCGGUGCUCUGCGUUCUCACUGACAGUCGUCGGCGCAACUGACGAAGGCGUGGGAAGACGAGAGCACUUGAGGGCUUCAGAGGGACACGGAAUUCCGGGUGGAGUGGUGAAAUGCGUAGAUAUCCGGAGGAACACCAACAGCGAAGGCAGUGUCCUGGGAAGUGUCUGACGCUCAGGUGCGAAAGCCAGGGGAGCGAACGGGAUUAGAUACCCCGGUAGUCCUGGCCGUAAACGAUGACCACUAGACGUGGGAGGUAUCGACCCCUUCCGUGUCGGAGCUAACGCGGUAAGUGGUCCGCCUGGGGAGUACGGUCGCAAGAUUAAAACUCAAAGGAAUUGACG